This 94-nucleotide small nucleolar RNA is filed under the name Homo sapiens (human). Its description in RNAcentral is "small nucleolar RNA, C/D box 116-23 (SNORD116-23)". It matches the Rfam family "Small nucleolar RNA SNORD116". Rfam says of the family: HBII-85 is a member of the C/D class of snoRNAs, which contain the C (UGAUGA) and D (CUGA) box motifs. Lineage: Eukaryota; Metazoa; Chordata; Mammalia; Primates; Hominidae. The record is from RNAcentral.
UGGAUCGAUGAUGACCUCAAUACAUGCAUUCCUUGGAAAGCUGAACAAAAUGAGUGAAAACUCUAUACCGUCGUCCUCGUCAAACUGAGGUCCA